Molecule: ribosomal RNA, 519 nt
Filed under: uncultured bacterium
Lineage: Bacteria
Description: bacterial SSU rRNA
Rfam family: Bacterial small subunit ribosomal RNA
Source: RNAcentral
GGACGAACGCUGGCGGCGUGCCUAAUACAUGCAAGUCGAACGGUCUUUCUAUGGAAGCUUGCUUCCACUGAGAAGAUAGUGGCGAACGGGUGAGUAACACGUGGGUAACCUGCCCAUAAGAGGGGGAUAACAUCCGGAAACGGGUGCUAAUACCGCAUAGUUUUCUUGAUCGCAUGAUCGGGAAAGGAAAGACGGCCUUUGUGCUGUCGCUUAUGGAUGGACCCGCGGCGUAUUAGUUAGUUGGUGAGGUAACGGCUCACCAAGACGAUGAUACGUAGCCGACCUGAGAGGGUGAUCGGCCACAUUGGGACUGAGACACGGCCCAAACUCCUACGGGAGGCAGCAGUAGGGAAUCUUCCGCAAUGGACGAAAGUCUGACGGAGCAACGCCGCGUGAGUGAAGAAAGGGUUUUCGGAUCGUAAAACUCUGUUGUCAGAGAAGAACAAGUUGGAGAGUAACUGCUCCAGCCUUGACGGUAUCUGACCAGAAAGCCACGGCUAACUACGUGCCAGCAGCCGC